This is a small nuclear RNA of Sorex araneus (European shrew), 197 nucleotides long. Its record names the gene U2. It matches the Rfam family "U2 spliceosomal RNA". Rfam says of the family: U2 is a small nuclear RNA (snRNA) component of the spliceosome (involved in pre-mRNA splicing). Complementary binding between U2 snRNA (in an area lying towards the 5' end but 3' to hairpin I) and the branchpoint sequence (BPS) of the intron results the bulging out of an unpaired adenosine, on the BPS, which initiates a nucleophilic attack at the intronic 5' splice site, thus starting the first of two transesterification reactions that mediate splicing. NCBI's taxonomy places the organism in Eukaryota, Metazoa, Chordata, Mammalia, Eulipotyphla, Soricidae. The record is from Ensembl.
AUCGCUUCUCAGUCUUUUGGCUAAGAUCAAGUGUUGCAUCUGUUCUUAAAAGAAAUAAAUAAGGGAGGUAAAUGGGAGGAACCAAUUACAGAAUUAUUAAAUUCUCAAGUUUUAUUUAGUUUUUGGGCCACCCAGAGGUUCUUGUGAUUUUCUCCUGGCUCUGCACUUCUAGAGGGGCUCAGGCAGGGAUAGGGCAC